AAAUUGAAGGGUUUGAUCCUGGCUCAGAAUGAACGUUGGCGGCGUGGAUUAGGCAUGCAAGUCGAGCGAGAAGCUUUCCUUCGGGAAAGUGGAAAGCGGCGAAAGGGAGAGUAACGCGUGGAUCACCUGCCCCCGGAUUCGGGAUAGCUACGGGAAACUGUAGGUAAUACCGAAUGAUGUCUACGGACCAAAGGUGUGAUUCCGUCCGGGGAUGGGUCCGCGUCCUAUUAGCUUGUUGGUGGGGUAAUGGCCUACCAAGGCGACGAUGGGUACUGGGUGUGAGAGCAUGACCCAGCUCACUGGGACUGAGACACUGCCCAGACACCUACGGGUGGCUGCAGUCGAGAAUCUUCGGCAAUGGGCGAAAGCCUGACCGAGCGACGCCGCGUGCGGGAUGAAGGCCUUCGGGUUGUAAACCGCUGUCAGAGGGGAUGAAAUCCCGGGGGGCUAUCCCUUCGGGUUGACACAUCCUCAGAGGAAGUCCGGGCUAAGUUCGUGCCAGCAGCCGCGGUAAGACGAACCGGACAAACGUUAUUCGGAAUUAUUGGGCUUAAAGGGUGCGUAGGCGGCGCGAAAAGUUGGGUGUGAAAUCCCUCGGCUCAACCGAGGAACUGCGCUCAAAACUGCCAGGCUUGAGGGAGACAGAGGUGAGCGGAACUGAUGGUGGAGCGGUGAAAUGCGUUGAUAUCAUCAGGAACACCGGUGGCGAAGGCGGCUCACUGGGUCUUUUCUGACGCUGAGGUACGAAAGCUAGGGUAGCGAACGGGAUUAGAUACCCCGGUAGUCCUAGCUGUAAACGAUGAGCACUAGUCUGAGGGGACUUCCACAUCCUCUCGGACGUAGCGAAAGUGUUAAGUGCUCC
This 862-nucleotide ribosomal RNA is filed under the name Planctomycetales bacterium. RNAcentral describes it as "bacterial SSU rRNA". It matches the Rfam family "Bacterial small subunit ribosomal RNA", at positions 1 to 870 of the family's 1533-position model. Lineage: Bacteria; Pseudomonadati; Planctomycetota; Planctomycetia; Planctomycetales. The record is from RNAcentral.